This 274-nucleotide ribosomal RNA is filed under the name uncultured bacterium. RNAcentral describes it as "partial 16S ribosomal RNA". It matches the Rfam family "Bacterial small subunit ribosomal RNA", at positions 523 to 796 of the family's 1533-position model. The record is from RNAcentral.
AGACGGAGGGUGCAAACGUUGUUCGGAAUCACUGGGCAUAAAGCGCGCGUAGGCGGUCCUUUAAGUCAGUUGUGAAAUCCCUCGGCUCAACCGAGGAACUGCAACUGAUACUGGAGGACUUGAGGAUGGUAGGGGUGAGCGGAACUCCAGGUGGAGCGGUGAAAUGCGUAGAUAUCUGGAGGAACACCGGUGGCGAAAGCGGCUCACUGGACCAUCACUGACGCUGAGGUGCGAAAGCUAGGGUAGCAAACGGGAUUAGAAACCCCAGUAGUCC